RNAcentral lists this ribosomal RNA (227 nucleotides) under uncultured bacterium. RNAcentral's name for it is "partial 16S ribosomal RNA". It matches the Rfam family "Bacterial small subunit ribosomal RNA", at positions 15 to 224 of the family's 1533-position model. The record is from RNAcentral.
GAUCAUGGGCUCAGGACGAACGCUGGCGGCGUGCUUAACACAUGCAAGUCGAACGAGAAUCUGUGGAACGAGGAUUCGUCCAAGUGAAGCAGAGGACAGUGGCGGACGGGUGAGUAACGCGUGAGGAACCUGCCUUUCAGAGGGGGACAACAGUUGGAAACGACUGCUAAUACCGCAUGACACAUAGAUGUCGCAUGGCAUUUAUGUCAAAGAUUUAUCGCUGAAAG